This 506-nucleotide ribosomal RNA is filed under the name uncultured bacterium. RNAcentral's name for it is "bacterial SSU rRNA". It matches the Rfam family "Bacterial small subunit ribosomal RNA", at positions 791 to 1301 of the family's 1533-position model. The record is from RNAcentral.
UAGUCCACGCCGUAAACGAUGGAUACUAGCUGUUCGGUUUUCGGACUGAGUGGCUAAGCGAAAGUGAUAAGUAUCCCACCUGGGGAGUACGUUCGCAAGAAUGAAACUCAAAGGAAUUGACGGGGGGCCCGCACAAGCGGUGGAGCAUGUGGUUUAAUUCGAUGAUACGCGAGGAACCUUACCAGGGCUUAAAUGUAUAGUGACAGAGCUAGAGAUAGCUUUUUCUUCGGACACUUUACAAGGUGCUGCAUGGUUGUCGUCAGCUCGUGCCGUGAGGUGUCAGGUUAAGUCCUAUAACGAGCGCAACCCCUAUUGUUAGUUGCCAGCAUGUAAAGAUGGGAACUCUAACAAGACUGCCGGUGCAAACCGUGAGGAAGGUGGGGAUGGACGUCAAAUCAUCACGGCCCUUACGUCCUGGGCUACACACGUGCUACAAUGGCCGGUACAGAGAGCAGCCAGUGGGCAACCACGAGCGAAUCUAAUAAACCGGUCUCAGUUCGGAUCGG